GUUGCCAUUGAACGUCAACGUUCUUCGUUACGGAAAACCAACUGCAGCCGGUCACACUGGCCUCAAGAAAACCAGAAAGGGGAGGAGAACAUUUUAAGAACCUUCCAGAAGUCCUGCUUUGGGUUAGCACCAGCCCUUCCAGGACUGGGCCUUAAACUCAGCCUGCAGCGUGGACCAGACGGGGAGAAAAUGUUGACAUCUCCCGGCCCUGUGGCGAUACCGGGGUGAUCAUAGCCUCCUUCGGGGAGAGGCUGGCUGGGGACCCAUGCUGGGGGCUUCUGGAAGCAGAGAAACAGGUGCUCCUGUGUGGAGAUCACUGAGGGGACUUCAGGGACAAAAACACUGGUAGCCGCUUCACAGUUCAUUUUCCCGGAGCACAUGCUCUUUAUGUCUGGCUUUCUGGAAUGAUCCAAGCAGCUGGCUGAUGAGCCCUAUUUCUUUCCGUCGUUACUGCCUGGCUCUCUUAAAGCUCAGACACCACUAAGAAGAUGGGUAAAGAUGGAAAUAUGUAAUUAACACACGGUGCUGGCGAGGGCGUGGGGAACAGGAAAUCCCAGAAGCCACGAGCAGGGAGAAGAUAGAUGGUUACAGCCAAUACGGGGAGGGGGGAUUUGAUGUACCCGCCAAACUAUCCUUUGACUCAGCGACUCCUCCCCCCACCCCAGAUGUUGCCCCUACAGAUGUGAUCCUACAACCUGCAAAUUGCAAAUGUGUAAAGAUGU
This is a long non-coding RNA of Lynx canadensis (Canada lynx), 722 nucleotides long. RefSeq lists it as uncharacterized. The record is from RefSeq and is a predicted model, not a curated record. The transcript is spliced from 2 exons. NCBI's taxonomy places the organism in Eukaryota, Metazoa, Chordata, Mammalia, Carnivora, Felidae.